RNAcentral lists this ribosomal RNA (2905 nucleotides) under Klebsiella aerogenes. RNAcentral's name for it is "23S ribosomal RNA". It matches the Rfam family "Bacterial large subunit ribosomal RNA". Lineage: Bacteria; Pseudomonadati; Pseudomonadota; Gammaproteobacteria; Enterobacterales; Enterobacteriaceae. The record is from RNAcentral.
GGUUAAGCGACUAAGCGUACACGGUGGAUGCCCUGGCAGUCAGAGGCGAUGAAGGACGUGCUAAUCUGCGAAAAGCGUCGGUAAGGUGAUAUGAACCGUUACAGCCGGCGAUGUCCGAAUGGGGAAACCCAGUGCAAUUCGUUGCACUAUCGUUAACUGAAUACAUAGGUUAACGAGGCGAACCGGGGGAACUGAAACAUCUAAGUACCCCGAGGAAAAGAAAUCAACCGAGAUUCCCCCAGUAGCGGCGAGCGAACGGGGAGCAGCCCAGAGUCUGAAUCAGCUUGUGUGUUAGUGGAACGGUCUGGAAAGUCCGACGGUACAGGGUGAUAGUCCCGUACACCAAAAUGCACAGGUUGUGAACUCGAAGAGUAGGGCGGGACACGUGGUAUCCUGUCUGAAUAUGGGGGGACCAUCCUCCAAGGCUAAAUACUCCUGACUGACCGAUAGUGAACCAGUACCGUGAGGGAAAGGCGAAAAGAACCCCGGCGAGGGGAGUGAAAAAGAACCUGAAACCGUGUACGUACAAGCAGUGGGAGCACCUUUAUGGUGUGACUGCGUACCUUUUGUAUAAUGGGUCAGCGACUUAUAUUCUGUAGCAAGGUUAACCGUAUAGGGGAGCCGCAGGGAAACCGAGUCUUAACUGGGCGUUAAGUUGCAGGGUAUAGACCCGAAACCCGGUGAUCUAGCCAUGGGCAGGUUGAAGGUUGGGUAACACUAACUGGAGGACCGAACCGACUAAUGUUGAAAAAUUAGCGGAUGACUUGUGGCUGGGGGUGAAAGGCCAAUCAAACCGGGAGAUAGCUGGUUCUCCCCGAAAGCUAUUUAGGUAGCGCCUCGUGAACUCAUCUUCGGGGGUAGAGCACUGUUUCGGCUAGGGGGUCAUCCCGACUUACCAACCCGAUGCAAACUACGAAUACCGAAGAAUGUUAUCACGGGAGACACACGGCGGGUGCUAACGUCCGUCGUGAAGAGGGAAACAACCCAGACCGCCAGCUAAGGUCCCAAAGUCACAGUUAAGUGGGAAACGAUGUGGGAAGGCACAGACAGCCAGGAUGUUGGCUUAGAAGCAGCCAUCAUUUAAAGAAAGCGUAAUAGCUCACUGGUCGAGUCGGCCUGCGCGGAAGAUGUAACGGGGCUAAACUGUGCACCGAAGCUGCGGCAGCGACACUAUGUGUUGUUGGGUAGGGGAGCGUUCUGUAAGCCUGCGAAGGUGGCCUGUGAGGGUUGCUGGAGGUAUCAGAAGUGCGAAUGCUGACAUAAGUAACGAUAAUGCGGGUGAAAAGCCCGCACGCCGGAAGACCAAGGGUUCCUGUCCAACGUUAAUCGGGGCAGGGUGAGUCGACCCCUAAGGCGAGGCCGAAAGGCGUAGUCGAUGGGAAACAGGUUAAUAUUCCUGUACUUGGUGUUACUGCGAAGGGGGGACGGAGAAGGCUAUGUUAGCCGGGCGACGGUUGUCCCGGUUUAAGCAUGUAGGCGGAGGUUCCAGGUAAAUCCGGUACCUUUUAACGCUGAGGUGUGAUGACGAGGCACUACGGUGCUGAAGUAACAAAUGCCCUGCUUCCAGGAAAAGCCUCUAAGCAUCAGGUAACAUUGAAUCGUACCCCAAACCGACACAGGUGGUCAGGUAGAGAAUACCAAGGCGCUUGAGAGAACUCGGGUGAAGGAACUAGGCAAAAUGGUGCCGUAACUUCGGGAGAAGGCACGCUGAUAUGUAGGUGAAGUCCCUGCGGAUGGAGCUGAAAUCAGUCGAAGAUACCAGCUGGCUGCAACUGUUUAUUAAAAACACAGCACUGUGCAAACACGAAAGUGGACGUAUACGGUGUGACGCCUGCCCGGUGCCGGAAGGUUAAUUGAUGGGGUUAUCCGUAAGGAGAAGCUCUUGAUCGAAGCCCCGGUAAACGGCGGCCGUAACUAUAACGGUCCUAAGGUAGCGAAAUUCCUUGUCGGGUAAGUUCCGACCUGCACGAAUGGCGUAAUGAUGGCCAGGCUGUCUCCACCCGAGACUCAGUGAAAUUGAACUCGCUGUGAAGAUGCAGUGUACCCGCGGCAAGACGGAAAGACCCCGUGAACCUUUACUAUAGCUUGACACUGAACAUUGAGCCUUGAUGUGUAGGAUAGGUGGGAGGCUUUGAAGCGUGGACGCCAGUCUGCGUGGAGCCAACCUUGAAAUACCACCCUUUAAUGUUUGAUGUUCUAACGUUGGCCCCUGAUCGGGGUUGCGGACAGUGUCUGGUGGGUAGUUUGACUGGGGCGGUCUCCUCCCAAAGAGUAACGGAGGAGCACGAAGGUUAGCUAAUCCUGGUCGGACAUCAGGAGGUUAGUGCAAUGGCAUAAGCUAGCUUGACUGCGAGCGUGACGGCGCGAGCAGGUGCGAAAGCAGGUCAUAGUGAUCCGGUGGUUCUGAAUGGAAGGGCCAUCGCUCAACGGAUAAAAGGUACUCCGGGGAUAACAGGCUGAUACCGCCCAAGAGUUCAUAUCGACGGCGGUGUUUGGCACCUCGAUGUCGGCUCAUCACAUCCUGGGGCUGAAGUAGGUCCCAAGGGUAUGGCUGUUCGCCAUUUAAAGUGGUACGCGAGCUGGGUUUAGAACGUCGUGAGACAGUUCGGUCCCUAUCUGCCGUGGGCGCUGGAGAAUUGAGGGGGGCUGCUCCUAGUACGAGAGGACCGGAGUGGACGCAUCACUGGUGUUCGGGUUGUCAUGCCAAUGGCAUUGCCCGGUAGCUAAAUGCGGAAGAGAUAAGUGCUGAAAGCAUCUAAGCACGAAACUUGCCCCGAGAUGAGUUCUCCCUGACUCCUUGAGAGUCCUGAAGGAACGUUAAAGACGAUGACGUUGAUAGGUCGGGUGUGUAAGCGUAGCGAUACGUUGAGCUAACCGAUACUAAUGAACCGUGAGGCUUAACCUU